Long non-coding RNA from Rhipicephalus sanguineus (brown dog tick), 427 nucleotides. RefSeq lists it as uncharacterized. NCBI's taxonomy places the organism in Eukaryota, Metazoa, Arthropoda, Arachnida, Ixodida, Ixodidae. The transcript has 3 exons. The record is from RefSeq and is a predicted model, not a curated record.
AUAGAAGCUGACGGGAGCACCAAGCUCUCGUUCGCUUCAGCGUCAGAUGCAGAACGCUGCCGUACAGAGACGUCAGAGGUGGAUGCUGACAGCUGCUCACUAAAGGCCGCAAACCGCACCCUCGUUGUUUCGGGUCGUUGAGGUGGUUCCGGGGCUGGUGGUGGCGCCUGCGCUUCAGCGUCAGAUGCAGAGCGCUGUCGUACAGAGACGUCGUCAGAGGUGGAUGCCGACAGCUGCUCACUAAAAGUCACGGACCGCGCCCUCGUUGUUUCGGGUCGUCGAGGUGGAUCCAGGGCUGGUGGUGGCGCCUGCGCUUCAGCGUCAGAUGCAGAGCGCUGUCGUACAGAGACGUCGUCAGAGGUGGAUGCCGACAGCUGCUCACUAAAAGUCACGGACCGCGCCCUCGUUGUUCCGGGUCGUCGAGGUG